Molecule: ribosomal RNA, 253 nt
Filed under: uncultured bacterium
Lineage: Bacteria
Description: partial 16S ribosomal RNA
Rfam family: Bacterial small subunit ribosomal RNA
Source: RNAcentral
UACAGAGGGGGCGAGCGUUGUUCGGAAUUACUGGGCGUAAAGGGCGCGUAGGCGGCCCGCUAAGUCGAACGUGAAAUCCCCAGGCUCAACCUGGGAACUGCGUCCGAUACUGGCAGGCUUGAAUCCGGGAGAGGGAUGUGGAAUUCCAGGUGUAGCGGUGAAAUGCGUAGAUAUAUGGAGGAACACCGGUGGCGAAGGCGGCAUCCUGGACCGGUAUUGACGCUGAGGCGCGAAAGCUAGGGGAGCAAACGGG